This 138-nucleotide ribosomal RNA is filed under the name uncultured eukaryote. RNAcentral's name for it is "partial 18S ribosomal RNA". It matches the Rfam family "Eukaryotic small subunit ribosomal RNA", at positions 1299 to 1458 of the family's 1831-position model. The record is from RNAcentral.
UGGUGGAGUGAUUUGUCUGGUUAAUUCCGUUAACGAACGAGACCUCAGCCUACUAAAUAGUCGGGUGAAUAUUUUAUUCUCUACGACUUCUUAGAGGGACUGUCCAUUUCUAGUGGACGGAAGUUUGAGGCAAUAACA